RNAcentral lists this transfer RNA (72 nucleotides) under Camelus bactrianus (Bactrian camel). It matches the Rfam family "tRNA". Rfam says of the family: Transfer RNA (tRNA) molecules are approximately 80 nucleotides in length. The record is from Rfam by way of RNAcentral. Lineage: Eukaryota; Metazoa; Chordata; Mammalia; Artiodactyla; Camelidae. RNAcentral also lists the same sequence under 1 other name.
GAGGGUAUAGCUCAGUGGUAGAGUGCAUGCUUAGCAUGCAUGAGGUCCUGGGUUUAAUCCCCAGUACUUCCA